CCCCAGAUCCUACUAGAGGAGCCUGUUCUGUAAUCGAUAAUCCGCGUUUAACCUCACCAUCUUUAGUUAAUCAGCCUGUAUACCUCCGUCGUCAGCUUACCACGUGAGCGCAAAUCAGUGGGCCUAAUGUUAUUACACCAAUACGUCAGGUCAAGGUGCAGCAAAUAAGAUGGGAAGAGAUGGGCUACACUUUCUAUUUUAGAAAAAACGGAAAACUACCUAUGAAACCUAGUUGGAAGGCGGAUUUAGCAGUAAAAAGGAAUCAACACGUCCAUUUUAACUUGGCACUGGGGUGUGU
RNAcentral lists this ribosomal RNA (298 nucleotides) under Sclerophrys pusilla (lesser cross-marked toad). RNAcentral describes it as "partial 12S ribosomal RNA". Lineage: Eukaryota; Metazoa; Chordata; Amphibia; Anura; Bufonidae. The record is from RNAcentral.